RNAcentral lists this ribosomal RNA (442 nucleotides) under uncultured bacterium. RNAcentral's name for it is "partial 16S ribosomal RNA". It matches the Rfam family "Bacterial small subunit ribosomal RNA", at positions 338 to 795 of the family's 1533-position model. The record is from RNAcentral.
CCUACGGGAGGCAGCAGUGGGGCAUAUUGGGCAAUGGGCGCAAGCCUGACCCAGCAACGCCGCGUGAGGGAAGAAGUCUUUCGGUUUGUAAACUUCUUUUGACAGGGAAGAGUAUAAGACUGUCCCUGUCGAAUAACCCACGUCUAACUACGUGCCAGCAGCCGCGGUAAUACGUAGGUGGCAAGCGUUGUGCGGAUUUACUGGGUGUAAAGGGCGUGGAGCCGGGUCAACAAGUCAGAUGUGAAAUCCUGCGGCUCAACCGCAGAACUGCAUUUGAAACUGUUGAUCUUGAGUACAGGAGAGGCAGACGGAAUUCCUAGUGUAGCGGUGAAAUGCGUAGAUAUUAGGAGGAACACCAGUGGCGAAGGCGGUCUGCUGGACAGCAACUGACGGUGAGGCGCGAAAGCGUGGGGAGCAAACAGGAGUAGAUACCCCUGUAGUC